GACGAACGCUGGCGGCGUGCUUAACACAUGCAAGUCGAACGGAAAGGCCCUGCUUGCAGGGUACUCGAGUGGCGAACGGGUGAGUAACACGUGGGUGAUCUGCCCUGCACUUCGGGAUAAGCCUGGGAAACUGGGUCUAAUACCGGAUAGGAGCCAUUUUUAGUGUGAUGGUUGGAAAGUUUUUUCGGUGUAGGAUGAGCUCGCGGCGUAUCAGCUUGUUGGUGGGGUAAUGGCCUACCAAGGCGGCGACGGGUAGCCGGCCUGAGAGGGUGGACGGCCACAUUGGGACUGAGAUACGGCCCAGACUCCUACGGGAGGCAGCAGUGGGGAAUAUUGCACGAUGGGCGCAAGCCUGAUGCAGCGAGGCCGCGUGGGGGAUGACGGCCUUCGGGUUGUAAACUCCUUUCGCUAGGGACGAAGCUUUUUGUGACGGUACCUAGAUAAGAAGCACCGGCUAACUACGUG
RNAcentral lists this ribosomal RNA (465 nucleotides) under uncultured bacterium. RNAcentral describes it as "partial 16S ribosomal RNA". It matches the Rfam family "Bacterial small subunit ribosomal RNA", at positions 28 to 507 of the family's 1533-position model. The record is from RNAcentral.